UAAACAAUCGUCAAAUACAAUACACUCGCACGAUGUUGCAAAUGCAUCAAAACGAAGACAUGUAACAGCUUUUUAAAAAUGAAUUCUGGGAGUUCAAUGGUCACAAGUACAAACUGCACUGAGAAAUGGGAAUGGACAUGUGAGUGUGUUGAUGACAAUAUAGGUCACAGGUCCAGUGGUUAAAGCAUCCGCCUCGUGAUCGGGAGGUCAAAGGUUCGAGCCCCAUGGAGAGCGUUUGUCUGGGGAAUGUUUGUCAUGGGACUCAUUCUGAAAAGGCCUGUUCGUGAACAGCAAGCUAGAUAAAUGAAUGGUUACCGACUUCUAUCCGCCUAGCCCCUGGCUUAGUAGUAGGAGUUGGGAGGUAAUUGAUGCCCACCACUUAGCAUCAAACUGUCGGCUGGUAAGAGAUGCUGCCAAACCCUGCUUUAAAAUCCCGACCUGUAGCCCCACACCAUCUCCGCUAACAACAAAGGGACCAGGACUUCUGCCCAUGACUACAGUACCAACACAGAGACCACAAAGUAAUGCAUCGGCAAAAAUUCCUAUGAUAUUGUAAUUAAAAUCAUUCCAGAACUACUUUCUUAUAAACAUUAAUUGUAAUUACAAACUUGGUAAAACUUUUUGAAUUGGCAAUAAGAUAAUAUUUUUAUAAAAGUCAUGUUUACUUACAAAACAGUAUCUUCAGUUGUUUCAGAAGUGUGUUUACAUGCGUAAUGGCAAGUUUGUGUUUCUCAUUUAGUCAAUUGAACAUAUAGUCAAGAUUGACAUUAUAUGAUGUAAUAAGAAUUAUUGGCCUUUUUCAUCCCCUGCCAUGAGUGUUGCGGGGGUUAUAGGAAUGGUCUCCAUCUGUCCUUCUGUCCAUCCGUUCGUCUGUAACACUUCUGUGUCUGCUCCAUAUCUCCUAAACCCCUUGAAGGAUUUUCUUGAAACUUGAGUCAAAUGGUCAACUCAAGACAAUGUGCAGAACUCAAGAGUCAGCCAUGUUGGCUCAAGGUCAAGGUCACAGCUCAAGUUCAUAGGUUUUAGCCUUCCAUUUCGUGUGUGCUCUGUAUCUCCUAAACCCCUUGAAGGAAUUUUAUAAAACUUGGGUCAAAUGGUUACCUCAUCAAGACAAUGUGCAGAGCUUAUGAUUCAGCUGUGGUGGCCCAAGGUCA
Long non-coding RNA from Mercenaria mercenaria, 1154 nucleotides. RefSeq lists it as uncharacterized. The record is from RefSeq and is a predicted model, not a curated record. NCBI's taxonomy places the organism in Eukaryota, Metazoa, Mollusca, Bivalvia, Venerida, Veneridae. The transcript has 3 exons.